UUCCUACGGGCGGCUGCAGUGGGGAAUAUUGCACAAUGGGCGCAAGCCUGAUGCAGCGACGCCGCGUGAGGGAUGACGGCCUUCGGGUUGUAAACCUCUUUCAGCACAGACGAAGCGCGAGUGACGGUAUGUGCAGAAGAAGGACCGGCCAACUACGUGCCAGCAGCCGCGGUAAUACGUCGGGUCCGAGCGUUGUCCGGAAUUACUGGGCGUAAAGAGCUCGUAGGUGGUUUGUCGCGUUGUUCGUGAAAACUCACAGCUUAACUGGGGGCGUGCGGGCGAUACGGGCAGACUGGAGUACGGCAGGGGGGACUGGAAUUCCUGGUGUAGCGGUGGAAUGCGCAGAUAUCAGGAGGAACACCGGUGGCGAAGGCGGGUCUCUGGGCAGUAACUGACGCUGAGGAGCGAAAGCGUGGGGAGCGAACAGGAUUAGAUACCCUUGUAGUCACC
This 450-nucleotide ribosomal RNA is filed under the name uncultured Mycobacterium sp. RNAcentral's name for it is "bacterial SSU rRNA". It matches the Rfam family "Bacterial small subunit ribosomal RNA", at positions 336 to 798 of the family's 1533-position model. Lineage: Bacteria; Bacillati; Actinomycetota; Actinomycetes; Mycobacteriales; Mycobacteriaceae. The record is from RNAcentral.